CAGUAGCCACGGUAAUACGGAGGGGGCAAGCGUUGUUCGGAAUUACUGGGCGUAAAGCACACGUAGGCGGACGGAGAAGUCAGAGGUGAAAUCCCAGGGCUCAACCCUGGAACUGCCUUUGAAACUUUCUGUCUUGAGGUCGAGAGAGGUGAGUGGAAUUCCGAGUGUAGAGGUGAAAUUCGUAGAUAUUCGGAGGAACACCAGUGGCGAAGGCGGCUCACUGGCUCGAUACUGACGCUGAGGUGCGAAAGCGUGGGGAGCAAACAGGAUUAGAUACCCCUGUAGUCCCUGUCUCUUAUAC
This 301-nucleotide ribosomal RNA is filed under the name uncultured bacterium. Its description in RNAcentral is "partial 16S ribosomal RNA". It matches the Rfam family "Bacterial small subunit ribosomal RNA", at positions 509 to 807 of the family's 1533-position model. The record is from RNAcentral.